GUGCUCACUUUGGCAGCACAGAUACUUAAACUGGAACAGUGCAGAGAUUAGCAGGGCCCCUGUGCAAGGAUGACACAAAUUCGUGAGCCGCUUUUCCUUUUUCU
RNAcentral lists this small nuclear RNA (104 nucleotides) under Sciurus vulgaris (Eurasian red squirrel). Lineage: Eukaryota; Metazoa; Chordata; Mammalia; Rodentia; Sciuridae. The record is from RNAcentral.